CCCUUAGAUGUCCUGGGCUGCACGCGCGCUACACUGAUGUGUCCAGUAAGCACCUAACCUAUUCCGAGAGGAGCGGGUAACCUUAGCAAAGCACAUCGUGAUGGGGAUAGAUUAUUGCAAUUAUUAGUCUUGAACGAGGAAUUCCUAGUAAGCACAAGUCAUCAGCUUGUGUUGAUUAUGUCCCUGCCCUUUGUACACACCGCCCGUCGCUCCUACCGAUUGAAUGUUCCGGUGAGCUCUUCGGACUGCGCGGUCUGCAGUUUCUGCGUUCCGUGCGGAAAGUUGUGCAAACCUUAACAUUUAGAGGAAGGAGAAGUCGUAACA
RNAcentral lists this ribosomal RNA (324 nucleotides) under uncultured eukaryote. RNAcentral describes it as "partial 18S ribosomal RNA". It matches the Rfam family "Eukaryotic small subunit ribosomal RNA", at positions 1470 to 1796 of the family's 1831-position model. The record is from RNAcentral.